CUACGGGUCGCUGCAGUGAGGAAUAUUGCACAAUGGGGGGAACCCUGAUGCAGCAACGCCGCGUGGAGGAUGACGCAUUUCGGUGUGUAAACUCCUUUUAUAUGUCAAGAAAAUGACGGUAGCAUAUGAAUAAGCACCGGCUAACUCCGUGCCAGCAGCCGCGGUAAUACGGAGGGUGCAAGCGUUACUCGGAAUCACUGGGCGUAAAGGACGCGUAGGCGGGUUGGAAAGUCAGGUGUGAAAUUCUACAGCUUAACUGUAGAACUGCACUUGAAACUUGUAAUCUAGAGUAUGGGAGGGGGAGAUGGAAUUAGUGGUGUAGGGGUAAAAUCCGUAGAUAUCACUAGGAAUACCUAAAGCGAAGGCGAUCUCCUGGAACAUUACUGACGCUAAGGCGUGAAAGCGUGGGGAGCAAACAGGAUUAGAUACCCUAGUAGUC
RNAcentral lists this ribosomal RNA (439 nucleotides) under uncultured bacterium. Its description in RNAcentral is "partial 16S ribosomal RNA". It matches the Rfam family "Bacterial small subunit ribosomal RNA", at positions 339 to 795 of the family's 1533-position model. The record is from RNAcentral.